This 72-nucleotide transfer RNA is filed under the name Urocitellus parryii (Arctic ground squirrel). RNAcentral describes it as "Spermophilus parryii (Arctic ground squirrel) tRNA". It matches the Rfam family "tRNA". Rfam says of the family: Transfer RNA (tRNA) molecules are approximately 80 nucleotides in length. Their secondary structure includes four short double-helical elements and three loops (D, anti-codon, and T loops). Lineage: Eukaryota; Metazoa; Chordata; Mammalia; Rodentia; Sciuridae. RNAcentral also lists the same sequence under 1 other name. The record is from Rfam by way of RNAcentral.
GGGGAUGCAGCUCAGUGGGAGAGCAUGUGCUUAGCAUGCACAAGACCCAGGGUUUGAUCCCCAGCACUGUUU